Non-coding RNA from Triticum aestivum (bread wheat), 115 nucleotides. The record is from Rfam. NCBI's taxonomy places the organism in Eukaryota, Viridiplantae, Streptophyta, Magnoliopsida, Poales, Poaceae.
UAUGUACUCCCUCCGUUUCAAAUUACUUGUCGCAGAUAUGGAUAUAUCUAGAUGUACUUUAGUUCUAGAUACAUCCAUUUCUACGACGAAUAAUUUGGAACGGAGGGAGUACGUU